CUACGGGUGGCUGCAGUGGGGAAUAUUGCGCAAUGGACGAAAGUCUGACGCAGCGACGCCGCGUGAGGGACGAAGGUCUUCGGAUUGUAAACCUCUUUCAGUAGGGACGAAGCGAAAGUGACGGUACCUAAAGAAGAAGCACCGGCUAACUAUGUGCCAGCAGCCGCGGUAAUACAUAGGGUGCAAGCGUUGUCCGGAUUUAUUGGGCGUAAAGAGUUCGUAGGCGGUUUAUCGCGUCGGGUGUGAAAACUCAGGGCUUAACCCUGAGCCUGCACUCGAUACGGGUUUACUUGAGGACGGCAGGGGAGACUGGAACUCCUGGUGUAGCGGUGGAAUGCGCAGAUAUCAGGAAGAACACCAAUGGCGAAGGCAGGUCUCUGGGCCGAUUCUGACGCUGAGGAACGAAAGCGUGGGGAGCAAACAGGAUUAGAUACCCCUGUAGUC
This 444-nucleotide ribosomal RNA is filed under the name uncultured bacterium. RNAcentral's name for it is "partial 16S ribosomal RNA". It matches the Rfam family "Bacterial small subunit ribosomal RNA", at positions 339 to 795 of the family's 1533-position model. The record is from RNAcentral.